This 253-nucleotide ribosomal RNA is filed under the name uncultured bacterium. RNAcentral's name for it is "partial 16S ribosomal RNA". It matches the Rfam family "Bacterial small subunit ribosomal RNA", at positions 524 to 776 of the family's 1533-position model. The record is from RNAcentral.
GACGAGGGGUCCUAGCGUUGCUCGGAAUCAUUGGGCGUAAAGCGUAUGUAGGCGGUUUAAUAAGUCAGGUGUGAAAUCCCUGGGCUCAACCCAGGACGUGCAUUUGAUACUGUUAAACUUGAGUAUGGGAGAGGAUAGUAGAAUUCCUGGUGUAGUGGUGAAAUACGUAGAUAUCAGGAGGAAUACCGGUGGCGAAGGCGGCUAUCUGGCCCAAUACUGACGCUGAGAUACGAAAGCGUGGGGAUCAAACAGG